RNAcentral lists this non-coding RNA (790 nucleotides) under Microconema clavata. Its description in RNAcentral is "12S ribosomal RNA". The stretch from base 370 to 783 matches the Rfam family "Microsporidia small subunit ribosomal RNA", at positions 752 to 1303 of the family's 1311-position model. Lineage: Eukaryota; Metazoa; Arthropoda; Insecta; Orthoptera; Tettigoniidae. The record is from RNAcentral.
GUAAAGUUUUAUUCUUACUUAAAUAUUUAUUAUUUGAAUAUUUUACAUGUAAAUUUUUGUGAGUAAUGAGGUUAUCUAAAGGGUUAUUUGUUAUUCGCAGUAUUUGAUAUUAGUAAUUAAGGUAACUUAGAAUUAGUAAUUUAAGUUAUGGUCGGCAAAAGUCGUGCCAGCAGCCGCGGUUAUACGUAGGACUUAGAUAAAUAUUAUUGGUGUUGAAGUUAAUUUGUAAGUGAAGAUUUAUAGUUGAUUAUAGAAGGUAGAAUUUGAAAAUUAAGAAUAUAUUUUAUUAUAUAAUGAAGCUUUGAAAUUUAAAUUGUAAACUAGGAUUAGAUACCCUAUUAUUUUUAAAUGUAAAUGUAAUAUACACUUGAGUAGUAGUAGCUAAGUUCUUGAAACUUAAAGAAUUUGGCGGUGUUUUAGUCUUUUCAGAGGAAUCUGUCCUGUAAUUGAUAAUACACAUUAUAUUAAAUUUAAUUUUGUAAUGUCAGCUUGUAUACCGCCGUCUUAAGAUUAUCUUUUAAGAGGAAUAAUUUUCUGGAUUUUUAAAUAAAAUUUAUGUCAGGUCAAGGUGCAGCUUAUGAUUAAGUAGGAGAUGGAUUACAAUAAAAUAUAAUUAAACGGAUAUUAUGUUGAAAUGAAUAAUUGAAGGUGGAUUUGAAAGUAAUAUUGUUAAAUUAUGAUAAUGUGAUUAUAGCUCUAAAACAUGUACACAUCGCCCGUCGCUCUCAUUUGUUUAAGGUGAGAUAAGUCGUAACAUAGUAGAUGUACUGGAAAGUGUAUCUAGAAUGUC